UUAAUUAGUAGUUGCAUUAUUUAAUUAAGAAAAAACUUCAAAUACCACCUCUGUGGUUUCCAACUUUCUCACUUUAUUACCUCAUGGUUUGAAAUGCAUGUAUCAAUUUAGUGUCCUGUGAUUUCAUUUUUAUUUUUUUAUUAUCGAUUUCACUAAUUUUUUUGUUAAAUCAGUGACAAAGUUAAAACUAAAAGGUAAUAAAAUGAAUAUUUGAUAAAUUUAGAUAGAGUAUCUGAAGUUUUUUUGUAUAUAAUUUAACAAAAUAUUAACGAAAAAACUAACGAAAAGAUAAAAAUAAAACUUCAAGACAUUACCUUGAUACACUUUAAACCAUACAGUACUAAAGUGAGAAAGUGCGAAACCACAAGGAUGGUAUUUGAAGUUUAUCCUUUAAUUAAAUAACAUAAAAGGUGGCUAAUUAUUAUACGCUCAAACUGUGCGGCAUGAAAUUGUUAGUCUACAAACUCUUCCACAUACAGGCUAUUCAACAAAUUAAAUU
Molecule: long non-coding RNA, 499 nt
Filed under: Ananas comosus (pineapple)
Lineage: Eukaryota; Viridiplantae; Streptophyta; Magnoliopsida; Poales; Bromeliaceae
Description: long non-coding RNA (ACOM_LNC028617)
Source: RNAcentral